This 676-nucleotide long non-coding RNA is filed under the name Phascolarctos cinereus (koala). RNAcentral describes it as "lncRNA (ENSPCIG00000003190.2)". Lineage: Eukaryota; Metazoa; Chordata; Mammalia; Diprotodontia; Phascolarctidae. The record is from RNAcentral.
GGGGCCGAGGCACGCGCUCUGCCACCAAUAAGGAAGGAGGGGCGAGAGGAUUCCAUGACGGAGUACAGGGAGCUCUGGCCUCUCCCUGGGGUCAGGACACUUUAGUUUUGAGCUGUGAUGCCUCCUUCACCCCCAUGCGGAAGGGAUCGAGAUUAUGCUUUUCCAGGACUGUGCCCUACCUGUCCAAAGGAGACCGAAAAGCACCAGUUGUUACAACUUGUUUAGUGUUGCUAUAAUCAAAAGAGAAACAUCCUGAUUACUUCAGUGUAAUUCCCCAUUGAUCCAAGGUAACUGCAAAUUUCAUUUUGAGAUUAAAUUAGCGCUUCUGGGAGGUAACUGUAACUUAUUUGCUCUGUCUCUGAUGUCUGUUAAAGUGUGAGCUCACUUUCUGAAAUUGAAAACAAGCCUGUCUCUGAACCAGCUUCUCUUAGCAUCAAGAAUACCUAGAGACAAUGAGUUUUCAUUAGGUUAAUGUAACUUCGAAGGAGGAGGAAAUGAAGGGCAGAACAGAGAAUUAAGUCAGCUUAUGGAAAAUAUUUUUAUCAAGGGAAGAGAGGCAGUAUGGUAUAUUGUAUAGUGCAUUGGUCCUAAAGUCAGAAAAGGGUAUGGCAUCUUGGGCACAUCUGGCCUUACUCUCCUCAUAUGUAAGAUAAUAAAAAAUAGCCCCUACACUACA